RNAcentral lists this transfer RNA (72 nucleotides) under Danionella translucida. It matches the Rfam family "tRNA". Rfam says of the family: Transfer RNA (tRNA) molecules are approximately 80 nucleotides in length. Their secondary structure includes four short double-helical elements and three loops (D, anti-codon, and T loops). The record is from Rfam by way of RNAcentral. Lineage: Eukaryota; Metazoa; Chordata; Actinopteri; Cypriniformes; Danionidae. RNAcentral also lists the same sequence under 1 other name.
GGCUCGUUGGUCUAGGGGUAUGAUUCUCGCUUUCGGUGCGAGAGGUCCCGGUUUCAAAUCCCGGACGAGCCC